GGGAAUAUUGCACAAUGGGCGCAAGCCUGAUGCAGCCAUGCCGCGUGUAUGAAGAAGGCCUUCGGGUUGUAAAGUACUUUCAGCGGGGAGGAAGGGAGUAAGAUGGUACCUUUGCUCAUUACCUUUGCUCAUUGACGUUACCCGCAGAACAAGCACCGGCUAACUCCGUGCCAGCAGCCGCGGUAAUACGGAGGGUGCAAGCGUUAAUCGGAAUUACUGGGCGUAAAGCGCACGCAGGCGGUUGUAGUCAAAUGAUAUGGGACACCCCCGCCCUCAACCUGAAAAUUGAGUUAGGGGGUNANCNGGACUCUCGUAGAGGGGGNGUAGAAUUCCAGGUGUAGCGGUGAAAUGCGUAGAGAUCUGGAGGAAUACCGGUGGCGAAGGCGGCCCCCUGGACGAAGACUGACGCUCAGGUGCGAAAGCGNGGGGAGCAAACAGGAUUAGAUACCCUGGUAGUCCACGCCGUAAACGAUGUCGACUUGGAGGUUGUGCCCUUGAGGCGUGGCUUCCGGAGCUAACGCGUUAAGUCGACCGCCUGGGGAGUACGGCCGCAAGGUUA
RNAcentral lists this ribosomal RNA (559 nucleotides) under uncultured bacterium. RNAcentral describes it as "bacterial SSU rRNA". It matches the Rfam family "Bacterial small subunit ribosomal RNA", at positions 357 to 896 of the family's 1533-position model. The record is from RNAcentral.